AGUGAACGCUGGCGGUAGGCCUAACACAUGCAAGUCGAACGGCAGCACAGUAAGAGCUUGCUCUUACGGGUGGCGAGUGGCGGACGGGUGAGGAAUACAUCGGAAUCUACUUUUUCGUGGGGGAUAACGUAUGGAAACUUACGCUAAUACCGCAUACGACCUACGGGUGAAAGCAGGGGAUCUUCGGACCUUGCGCGAUUGAAUGAGCCGAUGUCGGAUUAGCUAGUUGGCGGGGUAAAGGCCCACCAAGGCGACGAUCCGUAGCUGGUCUGAGAGGAUGAUCAGCCACACUGGAACUGAGACACGGUCCAGACUCCUACGGGAGGCAGCAGUGGGGAAUAUUGGACAAUGGGCGCAAGCCUGAUCCAGCCAUACCGCGUGGGUGAAGAAGGCCUUCGGGUUGUAAAGCCCUUUUGUUGGGGAAGAAAAGCAGCAGGUUAAUACCCCGCUGUUCUGACGGUACCCAAAGAAUAAGCACCGGCUAACUUCGUG
This 492-nucleotide ribosomal RNA is filed under the name uncultured bacterium. Its description in RNAcentral is "partial 16S ribosomal RNA". It matches the Rfam family "Bacterial small subunit ribosomal RNA", at positions 29 to 507 of the family's 1533-position model. The record is from RNAcentral.